Molecule: ribosomal RNA, 483 nt
Filed under: uncultured bacterium
Lineage: Bacteria
Description: partial 16S ribosomal RNA
Rfam family: Bacterial small subunit ribosomal RNA
Source: RNAcentral
AUCGAACGCUGGCGGCAGGCCUAACACAUGCAAGUCGAGCGGAUGAAGGGAGCUUGCUCCUGGAUUCAGCGGCGGACGGGUGAGUAAUGCCUAGGAAUCUGCUUGGUAGUGGUGGAUAACGUCUGGAAACGGGCGCUAAUACCGCAUACGUCCUGAGGGUGAAAGUGGGGGAUCUUCGGACCUCACGCUAUCAGAUGAGCCUAGGCCGGAUUAACUAGUUGGUGGGGUAACUGCCUACCAAGGCGACGAUCCGUAACUGGUCUGACGGGAUGAUCAGUCACAGUGGAGCUGAGACGCGAUCCAGGCACCGACGGGAGGCAGCAGUGGGGAAUGUUGGAAGAUGUGCGAAAGACUGAACCAGCCAUGCAGCGUGGGUGAAGAAGGGCUGCGGGUGGUAAGCACGUUAAGUUGUGAGGAAGGGCAGUAGGUUAAUACCUUGCUGUUUUGACGUUACCGGCAGAAUAAGCACCGGCUAACUUCGUG